RNAcentral lists this ribosomal RNA (648 nucleotides) under Acanthocephala alata. RNAcentral's name for it is "partial large subunit ribosomal RNA". It matches the Rfam family "Eukaryotic large subunit ribosomal RNA", at positions 1608 to 2159 of the family's 3401-position model. The record is from RNAcentral. Lineage: Eukaryota; Metazoa; Arthropoda; Insecta; Hemiptera; Coreidae.
GGUUCCUAUUCCGGAACCCGGCAGCGGAACCGCUCCAAUUCGGGCCCUCAUCCGAGGACUCGUCGGGGUGACCCGAAAUGACCCGGAGAAGCCGUAGGGAGGUCCGGGGAGAGUUGUCUCUUCUCUAUAAGCGUUCGAGUUCCCUGGAAGCCUCUAGGAGGGAGAUAGGGUUUGGAACGCGAAGAGCACCGCACUUACGGCGGUGUCCGGAUCUUCCCCUCGGACCUUGAAAAUCCGGGCGAGGGCCACGAGGAACACCGCGCCGGCUCGUACCCAUAUCCGCAGCAGGUCUCCAAGGUGAAUAGCCUCUAGUCGAUAGAAUAAUGUAGGUAAGGGAAGUCGGCAAACCCGAUCUGUAACUUCGGGAUAAGGAUUGGCUCUGAGGAUCGUGGCGCGCCGGGCUUGGUCGGGAAGUGGAGCGGUGCCAACGUGCCGGGCCUGGGCGAGGUGAAGGGCGCUUGUCGUCUGGACCCUAGCUCGGUCCCGUGCCUUGGCCACCCACGGACCUUCCUUGCUGCGAGCCUCCCGGCUGUCUAGUUUCCGGCCCAGCCGGAGUACGGGCCGGAAGGCUCUUCGGCCGCCAUAGAACGAUCAACUUAGAACUGGCACGGACCAGGGGAAUCCGACUGUCUAAUUAAAACAAAGCAU